CAGUGAAGAGACCCUUCCUAGUUGCUGCAGUGUGUCUGGGGCUGCUGUGUGUUUUCCUACUGGCUGGGAUCAUUGGGUUGUCAGUCUCCUUUCAGUUAACAGCGAAAACCUGUACCGAAGGAUGGCAGAAGUUUGGCUGCAGCUGUUACUACAACUCCACUGGGAAGAACACUUGGGAUUACGCCAGAAAGGACUGUCUGAGCAGAGGAGCAGACCUGGUGAUCAUUAACAGCGAAGAUGAACAGGUAUUUCUCACUACAUUUGAUCAAUGGAUCUGGAUUGGUCUGACGGACAGAGAGACACAGGGAACUGGAAAUGGGUGGACGGCACAC
Salvelinus sp. IW2-2015 is the source of this 332-nucleotide long non-coding RNA. RefSeq lists it as uncharacterized. The record is from RefSeq and is a predicted model, not a curated record. NCBI's taxonomy places the organism in Eukaryota, Metazoa, Chordata, Actinopteri, Salmoniformes, Salmonidae.